CUAAAAUGAGAGUUUGAUCCUGGCUCAGGACGAACGCUGGCGGCGUGCCUAAUACAUGCAAGUCGAACGCUUUUUUCAAUCAUCGUAGCUUGCUACACCGAUUGAAAAUUGAGUGGCGAACGGGUGAGUAACACGUGGGUAACUUGCCCAAAAGAGGGGGAUAA
This 164-nucleotide ribosomal RNA is filed under the name Ligilactobacillus agilis. RNAcentral's name for it is "Lactobacillus agilis partial 16S ribosomal RNA". It matches the Rfam family "Bacterial small subunit ribosomal RNA", at positions 1 to 146 of the family's 1533-position model. The record is from RNAcentral. Lineage: Bacteria; Bacillati; Bacillota; Bacilli; Lactobacillales; Lactobacillaceae.